RNA transcript from Urocitellus parryii (Arctic ground squirrel), 1877 nucleotides. It is a transcript of the gene named tyrosylprotein sulfotransferase 1, with no coding region annotated. Lineage: Eukaryota; Metazoa; Chordata; Mammalia; Rodentia; Sciuridae. The record is from RefSeq and is a predicted model, not a curated record.
CGGCGGCGCUCGGCGGCGAGGGCGGGCUCCCAGGCCCACGCGAUGGCGCCCACCUAAGGCGGUGGGGGAGGUGUCUGGGCUCAGCAUGCCGGCGCGGCGGCGCGGCGGCUCCUCGCUGGUCGCAGAUAUUAAUCAUCUUUCUGAAGUACAAUCUCCAUGGCCUGAACUUUUUUUGAAAAUCAUUUUGAGCAAAGUAUUUGUUUAAUAACAAGAUAACCACAUCAAGAUGGUUGGAAAACUGAAGCAGAAUUUACUAUUGGCGUGCCUGGUGAUCAGUUCUGUGACAGUAUUUUACUUGGGCCAGCAUGCCAUGGAAUGCCACCACCGAAUAGAGGAACGUAGCCAGCCAGCCAAAUUGGAGAGCACAAAAGCCACCGUGCGAACCAGCCUGGACCCUAAAGCCAAUAAAACCUUUGCCUAUCACAAAGAUAUGCCUUUGAUAUUCAUUGGUGGUGUGCCUCGGAGUGGGACCACACUCAUGAGGGCCAUGCUGGACGCACACCCUGACAUUCGCUGUGGAGAGGAGACCAGGGUCAUUCCUCGGAUCUUGGCCCUGAAGCAGAUGUGGUCGCGGUCCAGUAAAGAGAAGAUCCGCUUGGACGAAGCUGGUGUCACUGAUGAAGUGCUGGACUCUGCCAUGCAAGCCUUCUUACUAGAAAUCAUCGUGAAGCAUGGGGAGCCAGCUCCGUACUUAUGUAACAAAGAUCCCUUUGCCCUGAAAUCCUUAACUUACCUUGCCAGGUUGUUCCCCAAUGCCAAAUUUCUCCUGAUGGUUCGAGAUGGCCGGGCAUCAGUGCAUUCAAUGAUUUCUCGGAAAGUUACUAUAGCUGGGUUUGACCUGAACAGCUACAGGGACUGUUUGGCCAAGUGGAAUCGUGCCAUAGAGACGAUGUACAACCAGUGCAUGGAGGUCGGUUACAAAAAGUGCAUGUUGGUCCACUACGAGCAGCUCGUCCUCCAUCCUGAGCGGUGGAUGAGGACCCUGUUGAAGUUUCUCCACGUCCCAUGGAACUACUCAGUGCUGCACCAUGAGGAGAUGAUCGGGAAGGCCGGGGGAGUGUCGCUGUCAAAAGUGGAGAGAUCUACAGACCAAGUCAUCAAGCCAGUCAAUGUGGGAGCUCUGUCAAAAUGGGUGGGGAAGAUYCCUCCAGAUGUCUUACAAGAUAUGGCAGCGAUUGCACCCAUGCUUGCCAAAUUGGGAUAUGACCCUUAUGCCAACCCACCCAACUACGGGAAGCCGGACCCCCGGAUCCUUGAGAACACCAGAAGGGUCUACAAAGGAGAAUUCCAGCUACCUGACUUUCUGAAGGAAAAACCCCAGACGGAGCCUAUGGAGUAGCAGGGCCUGGAACCUCCUUCACACCUCGAGGGUCUCGGUGUGCACCUGUUCAGAUGGCCAGGGCAUCAAGGUGACUGCUGCACCCUGGAUGCGGUGCCCUCAGUGGCUUCAUUGAGCCGUGCCCAGGGUAGGGCUGCCUCUGCACUUGCACAGAAGUCACUUGCAGGGAGCUGCGGAGCCCAGCGGAGCCCAGGCGGCCGGCCGUCUCCUGUGCACUCCAGCCCCUCCUGCCAAGGGCGGGUGUCCACUCCUGUGAUAAGGAGCCAGGGGACAGUGCCCUCAUUUAGCCCUACUCUUGUCCUCAUCUUAACAAAUUCCAAACUUCGUUUUCAAGGGGAGGGUUUAAAAAUGGUAUUCUGUAAGCAAAACGGGCAGUUUCAUUUUGGGAUAGGUUGUCUGUACUUGGUCCAAUGUUUCGUAGAACACUUGUGCCUGUUUAAAUAUAUUGAUGUGGAUAAUAUUAAAUAUCUUAAUUAUUUAAGUAAUUCAUUGUAUUGUUUCUGAGAAGUUGGGAAAUUACCGUAUACAUUUACAACUU